CUCCGUACCGGGGCCGCGUCCAGGUCUCCCCCAGCGACUCCCACAGCGACAUCUCCUUGGGGACCAGAUGGCCGCGCAGGAAGCCCACGGCGUCGCGGGAGAGCCCAGGGCUGGUGACCGAGCGCGCGAGGUCCGGGCCUCCGCAGGUGUUGACGAUCUGGGGCACAGCGCGGGUCAGAUCGCGGCCCACACAGCCGCCGGUGCGAGCUCCGAGCUCUGCAGGAGGGCGCGGGGCAGGGACCACGCCCUGGGCGGCCGGGGACAGGGCCACGCAGACGCGCGCCUGGCGCUGCCCCGUCACCCAGACCCGUUCCUCGGCCCCACCCACAACCGGCCCCGCCCACUCCCAUCCCCUGGCCUCGGGCCCCGCCCCGCCCCGCCCCAGGCACCAGGUCCAGCGGGCCGAAGAGGAAGUGCACCAGCUCCGCGGCGCUGGGGUUCUGGAUGUGCUUUUGCAGCUUUGCCUGGCGGGGCGAGGACAGGGCAAGGGAUCGAACUCAGAGGCAGGCAGCAGAACCACUGAGCUAAAUCCCCACCCAGUGAUUUUCAUUUCUGACAACGUGAUUGUGCAGCAGGCGGCGAAACCACUGAGCUAAAUCCCCGGGCCUCUUCUUAAAAUAAUUCACGAAGCAGAGGAGCAGAGGAGCAGAGGUGGCUGUGAUCUACAGGAUCUCAUUUACAGACAAAACUGUAGUGAUGGGGGACACGGCAGUUGCCAGAGACUGGGGAGGGGUGGCUGUGACCACAGAGGGUUUCAAAGGAGGAUGGACUGGUGGUGGAGCUGCUGUGUGCCCAGGUCACCAUGGUAACAGAACCACACACCCCCCCAUUUACUGUAGGAAGUUAGAAAAGAAAUAAACAUGGGCUUCUUUGCACGCCCUCCCAUUGUCAAGAUGGGUCUUGUGCCCUCAGGAAAACUCCACCUACUCCCCCACCCUAGCUGGCCCCUGGGUGAGUAAAAAGGUCCCUGCAACAGCAGAGCCAAGGCAGGCCAGCUUGGACCAAAGUCCAGGAGCCAGGCAGGGUCCAGGAGCCAGGCAGGGAAGCCACGGUGGCUGCUCAACAAGGAGGACAAAGUCCCUCUCCCGAGAAAGGGGCAGAGCUGCCAGGAAGGAAGAGCCAAAGCUGCCUUGUCCACAGCUCUGUGUCCUGUCCAGGGCACCGAGCCAGCAGCAGGAAGGACCUUGGUCACCCCAACAUGCUGGCCUGGAGAUGUGUGUGGAUUUCUGAGGGCUCUAUGGAC
RNAcentral lists this long non-coding RNA (1243 nucleotides) under Heterocephalus glaber (naked mole-rat). RNAcentral's name for it is "lncRNA (ENSHGLG00000043447.1)". The record is from RNAcentral. Lineage: Eukaryota; Metazoa; Chordata; Mammalia; Rodentia; Bathyergidae.